This is a long non-coding RNA of Myotis davidii, 1374 nucleotides long. RefSeq lists it as uncharacterized. The transcript has 2 exons. The record is from RefSeq and is a predicted model, not a curated record. NCBI's taxonomy places the organism in Eukaryota, Metazoa, Chordata, Mammalia, Chiroptera, Vespertilionidae.
AGGGGGCUGGAGGCGGAGAUGGAGACUCAGGGGCACAACCUAGAGGGGAGGUGCCGAGAAGCUGAGCUCCGGGGGAUGGAUGGCCGGUCGCCGCCGCUGGAGGAGCGGCUGAAAGAGGGAGACUGGGAAAUGGGAGGAGAUGCAGGGAAGGACAUCGGCACCGGAGAGAGAGCCAGCGGCCUUCUCGGAGGCCAGGCAGGCGGGGUGCAAGAUUCACACACGAAAGUCAGUCAUGUUUUAUAUGCUAGCAACCAACAACUGGAAACAAAAAGACAAAACUUGGUAAUAGCUCCAAAAGGAAAGAAAAAGAACAGAGAAAUACUUGCGCAUUACUCUAACAAAACAUACACACGUGUCUAUGCUGGAAACUGUAAAAUGUUGAUGGGAGAACUCAAAGAGGGUACUGAGUCCACGGACUGCAAGACUCAACACAGUACAGAUGCGAUUUCUCCCCACCCUGACCGAAAUGCUUCUCUAGAGCUGCCCUGACACAGAACCACAAACCGGGUGGGUGGAAACCACAGAAAUGGUCUCAGCUCUGGACGCCAGACGUCUGAGGCCUGGGUGUCAGCGGGCCAGCUCUCCCCUAUGGGGCCUGCCUGGCCUCGUCCGGCUUCCAGGGGUUGCCCGCCGUUCUAGGUGCUCCGUGGCAGCAGCUGUAGCGCCUUCACACCUGCCUCUGUUGUGUGAUUUCUCCCGUGUGUCUGUGUUUCUUCUCUAUGGGGACCUCGGGCAUAGUGGGUUAAGGACCCGCCCUAUUCCACUAGGAUCUCGUCUUAACUAAUUACAUCGACAGUGACCCUGUUUCCAAAUAGUCACGUUCCGAGGUGAUAUAUUAGGCCCAGCGUGGACUGCAACCUGUCUUUUGGGGGACAUAAUUCAACCCAUAAAACGGAUCUAUCCGUUGAACACAAUCCAAUCAACUCCCAGUAAGAAUUUUUGUAGAUAUAGACAAGCUGCUUCUAAAAUUUAUGUGGAAAGGCAAAGAAACUAGAACACCUAAAACAAUUUUGAAAAAGGAGAAUAAGGUUGGAGGAAUCGUGUUAUCUGAUUUUAGGGUUUACAACAGGACUCGCAGCAGUAAUCGAGUGUGGUGCCCUGGCCAGGGAGCUCAGUUGGUUGGAGGGUCGUCCUGAUGCACCGAGGUUGUGGGUUCCAUUCCUAGUCGGGGUACAUACAAGAGCCAACCAAUGGCUGGGUGGAUGGGUGGGCAGAGGAAUGGGCAACAAAGACCAAUGAAGCAGAAUAGAGGCUCAAGAAAUAGACCCGCACAAAUACGGCUAAUUGAUUUGGACAAAGGUGCGAAAGCAAGUUAGUGGAGGAAGGAUAGUUUUUGUCAACAAAUGAGCUGGAACAACUGGACACCUAUACACA